AGAGUUUGAUCCUGGCUCAGAACGAACGCUGGCGGCGUGGAUUAGGCAUGCAAGUCGUACGCGAAAGAGGGGGAAACUCCUCGAGUAGAGUGGCGAACGGGUGAGUAACGCGUGAAGAACCUGCCUUCAACAGGGGGAUAACACUCCCAACGGGGUGCUAAUACCGCAUGAGACCACGGGCUCGCAUGGGCCUGAGGUCAAAGGUGGCCUCUGCUUGCAAGCUACCGGUUGAAGAUGGCUUCGCGUCCCAUUAGCUAGUUGGCGGUGUAAAGGACCACCAAGGCGACGAUGGGUAGCUGGUCUGAGAGGAUGGUCAGCCACACUGGGACUGAGAUACGGCCCAGACUCCUACGGGAGGCAGCAGUCGAGAGGCUUCGGCAAUGGGGGAAACCCUGACCGAGCGACGCCGCGUGGAGGAUGAAGGCCCUUGGGUUGUAAACUCCUUUUGUCGGGGAAGAAAUGCGAUCAGGUGAACAAUCUGGUCGUUUGACGGUACCCGGCGAAUAAGCUCCGGCUAACUCCGUGCCAGCAGCCGCGGUAACACGGGGGGAGCAAGCGUUGUUCGGAAUCACUGGGCGUAAAGGGCGUGUAGGCGGUCAAGUAAGUGGGAUGUGAAAUGCCCCGGCUCACCCGGGGACCGGCAUCCCAUACUGCUUGGCUUGAGUACGGGAGAGGAUGUGGGAAUUCCUGGUGUAGCGGUGAAAUGCGUAGAUAUCAGGAGGAACACCGGUGGCGAAGGCGCACAUCUGGCCCGAUACUGACGCUGACAGCGCGAAAGCUAGGGGAGCAAACGGGAUUAGAUACCCCAGUAGUCC
RNAcentral lists this ribosomal RNA (815 nucleotides) under uncultured bacterium. RNAcentral's name for it is "bacterial SSU rRNA". It matches the Rfam family "Bacterial small subunit ribosomal RNA", at positions 8 to 796 of the family's 1533-position model. The record is from RNAcentral.